GAUGAACGCUGGCGGCGUGCCUAAUACAUGCAAGUCGAGCGAACGGACGAGAAGCUUGCUUCUCUGAUGUUAGCGGCGGACGGGUGAGUAACACGUGGAUAACCUACCUAUAAGACUGGGAUAACUUCGGGAAACCGGAGCUAAUACCGGAUAAUAUUUUGAACCGCAUGGUUCAAAAGUGAAAGACGGUCUUGCUGUCACUUAUAGAUGGAUCCGCGCUGCAUUAGCUAGUUGGUAAGGUAACGGCUUACCAAGGCAACGAUGCAUAGCCGACCUGAGAGGGUGAUCGGCCACACUGGAACUGAGACACGGUCCAGACUCCUACGGGAGGCAGCAGUAGGGAAUCUUCCGCAAAGGGCGAAAGCCUGACGGAGCAACGCCGCGUGAGUGGUGAAGGUCUUCGGAUCGUAAAACUCUGUUAUUAGGGAAGAACAUAUGUGUAAGUAACUGUGCACAUCUUGACGGUACCUAAUCAGAAAGCCACGGCUAACUACGUG
RNAcentral lists this ribosomal RNA (497 nucleotides) under uncultured bacterium. RNAcentral describes it as "partial 16S ribosomal RNA". It matches the Rfam family "Bacterial small subunit ribosomal RNA", at positions 28 to 507 of the family's 1533-position model. The record is from RNAcentral.